GUAAUAUUCGACAACUUCCACCUCCCUUCUUCCACCUUCCCUUCAAUCCAUGGAAAUGUUUCCAGAGACUGCGAAUGAAAGAUACGAUUGAAAAUGUUCUCAACUUAUAAUGUAUUACCCAAUACUUUUAUGAUCAAUUUGGAAAUGUAAUCUCUCUCUCUCUCUCUCUCUCUCUCUCUCUCUCUCUUAGUUUUAAUAGUAUAUUAUAUUAAAGUCUGAUGAGAUUCAUAGUCGAUUUUUCAAACACGACUAUGUAAUUAAAAUGUAUUCAAAUAACGUAAUAUAUCUAAAUAAUUCGUGGAAUGGUUGGGAAAGUUUAAGGAACACUAUUAUAUACAUAUUGACGACUUUAUUUUGUCUACAAUCUUUCCAAAAUACAUCUUAAGGAAAAAUUUGAAUAUCAAUAUGUAUUAUAUAUAAAUGAAAGUUACAGUUAUUAGGAUUGUAUCAGUGAAAUAUUCAUUAUACUCGUGAUACUUUUUUGGCAAUUCGAUAAUUUAGCAUACUUUUACUAUGCUCCAGGCAAUAAUAUGAUUUGGAAAUACCCGUUAGAGACACGAGCGAACACAUCUACUAAUCAAAUUCACAUUGAAUAAAUAAAUCGUGAAGAAAAUACUUUACUCGAUUGAAAACGAUUUUUUGAUUUUGUUCUACGAUUUCGUCAAUAUUGUUUAAUUCCAUUGUUUUAUCGAUGUUCCUAUUAAUUAUCAUUGAACAAUCAUAGUCAAUUUAAUGAAUAAUCAAAAACAUUGAUUAUAAUACAAUUAUAAUUAAAUCUACUGUAUCAUAUCUACUGUAAAACAUAAAGCUGAUAAAAAAUAAUGUUUAAAUAUGAUAAUGUCUUUUAGAUAUUUAAAUACUCAUACUAUAAUAUGAUGUAAUACACAGCCUAAUAGUGAGAAGAAAAAAAAAGCAAUAACGAGCUAAAUGUAAGGAAAUUACGAUCAAGGGAUAAGUAAGAAAAAUAUAGUUCAUAGCCACUAUGGAUUGGAUUUCUUUUUAUAAUUUCGUUAUAAUUGGGAAAGAAAGAAAAGAAAUGAACAAAUUAUUAUAAUAUUUUAAUCUAAUCUUCGAUCUGAUAAACGGUUAACGUCUUCGUAUGUAUUUUCGCGCUUACUGCAAGGAAACAAAAAUACAUCUAUAAAAUAAAAUCAACAGAACAAUCAACAUUGUAUAGAAAAGAAUUCAGUUUACUAUGACUAAUAAUAUUAAUCCUCUCCAUAAGAAAAGAAAAAAAGAAAAUAUGUUAGAAAAUACAGUAUGAAUGUAAGACUAUGAAAUAAAAGAAAAGAAAAAAAGAGAAAAAAACGAAAAAAACGAAAAAAA
Polistes dominula (European paper wasp) is the source of this 1326-nucleotide long non-coding RNA. RefSeq lists it as uncharacterized. The record is from RefSeq and is a predicted model, not a curated record. Lineage: Eukaryota; Metazoa; Arthropoda; Insecta; Hymenoptera; Vespidae.